CAGGUGUUGAGCCAGAAUUGGCCCCAUUUUCUGCUAAUUUCCAUUCCCUGAUUGUGCUGCCUGCUACAGGAGUCAUUUUGGAUUUGGGCUGACCUGGUAGACUUCUGAAAGACAGUGCUCUGGGUUCAAGUUGUUCUCAGGGCUGGAUGAUCCAUAGCAAAUAUCCCCUGAUGGAUAAGCAUUGUGCUGAGAGACUUGCCUCCAUCAGCUGUGUAAACCUCAGGAUGACCUGCACACAGCUGCCAUGCUGGGAGGAAGCCCAGCAGCCACACAGAGAGGCCACGACAGCCGAGGUCCCAGCCAAGCCAGCAUCAACUGCCCAACACGUCAAUGAGUGAUCCUGCAGAGCCUCCCAUCUCCUAGCCACCGCAGCUGAUGCUCUGAGAGCGGAGGCAAGCUGUCCUUGCUGGGCGCUGCUUAAACUGCAGAUGUAUGAACAAAAUAAAAAUGGUGGUUAUUUUAAGACA
Pan troglodytes (chimpanzee) is the source of this 467-nucleotide long non-coding RNA. RefSeq lists it as uncharacterized. NCBI's taxonomy places the organism in Eukaryota, Metazoa, Chordata, Mammalia, Primates, Hominidae. The record is from RefSeq and is a predicted model, not a curated record. The transcript has 3 exons.